UACAGAGGGUGCAAGCGUUGUUCGGAAUUAUUGGGCGUAAAGGGCGCGUAGGCGGUUCGGCAAGUCUCUAGUGAAAUCUCAGGGCUCAACUCUGAGUCUGCUGGGGAAACUGCCGGGCUUGAGUGUGGGAGAGGAGAGUGGAAUUCCCGGUGUAGCGGUGAAAUGCGUAGAUAUCGGGAAGAACACCUGUGGCGAAAGCGGCUCUCUGGACCACAACUGACGCUGAGGCGCGAAAGCUAGGGGAGCAAACAGG
This 253-nucleotide ribosomal RNA is filed under the name uncultured bacterium. RNAcentral describes it as "partial 16S ribosomal RNA". It matches the Rfam family "Bacterial small subunit ribosomal RNA", at positions 524 to 776 of the family's 1533-position model. The record is from RNAcentral.